CAUCAUAGGAAAGACAAAAAAAAAAGGAGCAUGGUUUUCUUGGAUCUCUCUCCCUCAAAGGUUUCUCUUCAACCAGAGGCUUAGAGAAACUUUUGUUGGAGAGGAACCCCAGAAUGGUCCAAUGCAUGCAUCAUCUGUUUCCCCCUUAGUUCUUUGGCUCUAAUCUAACAUUUCGUCUUUUCCUGUAGGUUAGCAGUAAUAUGCAAAAAUUAGGCUUUUUGGUGAACAUCAACAAGCGAGAAUAAGAUCUUUCAUCCGUCUUUCUCCAGCUCAAUGAUUUUGGUCGGGAUGAUGGCACAUAGUCUAUAAAGAAAGAUCCACAAUUAUCAAGUUUUACUUCACCCUGGCCUUGAGCAGUUUAAGAAUCAUGUCAGUUCUACAGGUGCACAACAAAAAUAGAAAGAUAAAAUUACCAACAAAUUAGCGACUCAUGCAGACCCUUACAAACAUCUUUAAAUUGAGGUCAACUACAGUAUACAGUUGAUACAGCAUCAUAUUACUCCUGUCGGAAGCCCUCGGAGCAAGAGUGAAGAUUACAGGCACCUGCUUUUCGCAGCUCGACUCAGACAAAGGCUUCAUUCCAAGUCCAUCAACUCCUAGAUUGGAUUCCGCCUAGCUUGAUUAGCAACUACGUUGCUGCUUCUGAAUGAAACGUGUCGCCGAAUCCACUUUCUGUUCCAAAUUCAGCAGACGAUGCUUCUAUAUCAUGUGUUCUUUCCCAAUUGUGUUUGGUUCCAAAUCCAGCAACCAGUUCAUCGUCCCAAUUACCUUUGUCGUCAGUCCAGAUCGAAUGUGAUGAUUGGGUGUUGCAUCUUUCCAACGGCCUGAUCUCGAAUUGGUUCUGUAUGUCUUCAAGCUCCUCCGUAGACACAGUAUGCCUCUUCACACCAAUCUCGAGGUCGAAGCUUGGCUUUGACAGAUCUGGAGGCAUAACUUGCCCUGUAGAAUGUAAUGAGGUGAACCUGGCUGAAUCCUCUAUCACCUUUGCUCGAAAAUUAUUCAUCGACUUGGGAAUUCCUGAGAAGAGGACCUCCUUCACAUUAUGAAAACACCCAUGGUUAUAGGGAUUCA
Molecule: long non-coding RNA, 1071 nt
Organism: Musa acuminata AAA Group (dessert banana)
Lineage: Eukaryota; Viridiplantae; Streptophyta; Magnoliopsida; Zingiberales; Musaceae
Exons: 2
Source: RefSeq, a predicted model, not a curated record